ACCAUCUUAGCUCAGUGGUAGAGCGCGGUGGCUUUUUAACACGUGGUCGUUGGUUCGACCCCACAGGAUGGUG
RNAcentral lists this transfer RNA (73 nucleotides) under Ipomoea nil (Japanese morning glory). It matches the Rfam family "tRNA". From Rfam's summary of the family: Transfer RNA (tRNA) molecules are approximately 80 nucleotides in length. Their secondary structure includes four short double-helical elements and three loops (D, anti-codon, and T loops). Further hydrogen bonds mediate the characteristic L-shaped molecular structure. tRNAs have two regions of fundamental functional importance: the anti-codon, which is responsible for specific mRNA codon recognition, and the 3' end, to which the tRNAs corresponding amino acid is attached (by aminoacyl-tRNA synthetases). tRNAs cope with the degeneracy of the genetic code in two manners: having more than one tRNA (with a specific anti-codon) for a particular amino acid; and 'wobble' base-pairing, i.e. permitting non-standard base-pairing at the 3rd anti-codon position. Lineage: Eukaryota; Viridiplantae; Streptophyta; Magnoliopsida; Solanales; Convolvulaceae. The record is from Rfam by way of RNAcentral.